AUUGGACGCUGGCGGCAGGCCUAACACAUGCAAGUCGUGCGGAUGAAGGGAGCUUGCUCCUGGAUUCAGCGGCGGACGGGUGAGUAAUGCCUAGGAAUCUGCCUGGUAGUGGGGGAUAACGUCCGGAAACGGGCGCUAAUACCGCAUACGUCCUGAGGGAGAAAGUGGGGGAUCUUCGGACCUCACGCUAUCAGAUGAGCCUAGGUCGGAUUAGCUAGUUGGUGGGGUAAAGGCCUACCAAGGCGACGAUCCGUAACUGGUCUGAGAGGAUGAUCAGUCACACUGGAACUGAGACACGGUCCAGACUCCUACGGGAGGCAGCAGUGGGGAAUAUUGGACAAUGGGCGAAAGCCUGAUCCAGCCAUGCCGCGUGUGUGAAGAGGGUCUUCGGAUUGUAAAGCACUUUAAGUUGGGAGGAAGGGCAGUAAGUUAAUACCUUGCUGUUUUGACGUUACCAACAGAAUAAGCACCGGCUAACUUCGUG
RNAcentral lists this ribosomal RNA (484 nucleotides) under uncultured bacterium. RNAcentral describes it as "partial 16S ribosomal RNA". It matches the Rfam family "Bacterial small subunit ribosomal RNA", at positions 30 to 507 of the family's 1533-position model. The record is from RNAcentral.